Molecule: long non-coding RNA, 974 nt
Filed under: Vitis vinifera (wine grape)
Lineage: Eukaryota; Viridiplantae; Streptophyta; Magnoliopsida; Vitales; Vitaceae
Description: long non-coding RNA (VVIN_LNC000935)
Source: RNAcentral
UAUAUAUAUAUAUAUAUAUAUAUAUGCAUGGAAGCACUUCUAAUCUUUUUAGUACUUAAAAUUUUGAUCAAAAGAGUUGUUUUCAAGUGCCAGAAAAGCUAGAAAUGCUCAGUGGAAACGCUUUGUAGAGUUAGUAACCUGUAAGACAAAAUUAAGCACUCACCAUGUAUUCUUGAAUUCAAUGGAUUUGCAGAUCUUAUGGAAGAAAAAGGCACUUCCGUAAGUGUAGGGAAGGGCGGGGUAAAUGUCCAUGCAGGAAAAGGCAAAUCCGGAGGCGGCACCACUGUCGGGGUGGGCAAAGGCACUGGGGUAAAUGUUCACGCAGGAAAAGGAAAACCUGGAGGUGGCACCACUGUUGGCGUCGGCAAAGGAGGAGUAUCUGUUAACGCAGGCCACAAGGGAAAGCAUGUAUAUGUUGGUGUUGGUAAAGGGAAAAGUAAAUCACCCUUCGAUUACAAGUAUGCUGCUACUGAGGAUCAGCUCCAUGAUGAUCCAAAUGUAGCUCUUUUCUUCUUUGAGAAGAACAUGCAACCUGGGACAAAGAUGGAGUUGCACUUCAUUAGGGAUGCAAAUCUAGCCACCUUCUUGCCUCGUCAAGUUGCCAACUCCAUACCUUUUUCAUCCAAAAAAUUCCCAGAAAUUCUGAACGAGUUCUCGAUAAAACCAGAAUCAGAAGAAGCUGAGACAAUCAAGAACACAAUCAGAGAGUGUGAGGAGCCUGGGAUUAAAGGAGAGGAAAAGUAUUGUGCAACUUCACUAGAAUCCAUGGUUGAUUUCAGCACCUCAAAGCUUGGAAAAGGUGUUCAGGUGAUUUCAACAGAGGUGGAGAAGGAAACCCCGGAGCAGCAGUACACAAUUACAACUGGGGUGAAGAAGCUGGCAGGUGACAAAGCUGUGGUGUGUCACAAGCAGAGCUAUCCCUAUGCAGUGUUUUACUGCCACAAGACUCAGACCACAAGGGCUUAUAUGGUUCC